UAGGGAAUCUUCCGCAAUGGGCGAAAGCUUGACGGAGCAACGCCGCGUGAGUGAUGAAGGUCUUCGGAUCGUAAAACUCUGUUAUUAGGGAAGAACAAAUGUGUAAGUAACUAUGCACGUCUUGACGGUACCUAAUCAGAAAGCCACGGCUAACUACGUGCCAGCAGCCGUGGUAAUACGUAGGUGGCAAGCGUUAUCCGGAAUUAUUGGGCGUAAAGCGCGCGUAGGCGGUUUUUUAAGUCUGAUGUGAAAGCCCACGGCUCAACCGUGGAGGGUCAUUGGAAACUGGAAAACUUGAGUGCAGAAGAGGAAAGUGGAAUUCCAUGUGUAGCGGUGAAAUGCGCAGAGAUAUGGAGGAACACCAGUGGCGAAGGCGACUUUCUGGUCUGUAACUGACGCUGAUGUGCGAAAGCGUGGGGAUCAAACAGG
Molecule: ribosomal RNA, 429 nt
Filed under: Actinomycetes bacterium
Lineage: Bacteria; Bacillati; Actinomycetota; Actinomycetes
Description: Actinobacteria bacterium partial 16S ribosomal RNA
Rfam family: Bacterial small subunit ribosomal RNA
Source: RNAcentral